UGUGUGUGUGAUUUUCAUUGGGGUUAUCGAGGGCAUGUGUGAAUCUGCAUAUCAUUGAUGAAGAGAAGGAGGAAGUGCUGCAAGUUAUGGGGAUUUCUGAGGGUCAAAAUAGAAUGUAUGAUCUUUGUCUCGUGGGUUGUUUCCUCACAGCCAGUGUGAUCUAAUUUCAGGUGAUGCGCAAUACUUUGGUAAAUCUUUGGCAUCAAUUAGAAUGCAUUAAGAUUUCAGAUUUGGGGGAAA
RNAcentral lists this long non-coding RNA (240 nucleotides) under Gossypium raimondii (Peruvian cotton). Its description in RNAcentral is "long non-coding RNA (GRAI_LNC003745)". Lineage: Eukaryota; Viridiplantae; Streptophyta; Magnoliopsida; Malvales; Malvaceae. The record is from RNAcentral.